RNAcentral lists this ribosomal RNA (899 nucleotides) under Trichoderma pulvinatum. RNAcentral describes it as "LSU rRNA". It matches the Rfam family "Eukaryotic large subunit ribosomal RNA", at positions 38 to 965 of the family's 3401-position model. The record is from RNAcentral. Lineage: Eukaryota; Fungi; Ascomycota; Sordariomycetes; Hypocreales; Hypocreaceae.
GCAUAUCAAUAAGCGGAGGAAAAGAAACCAACAGGGAUUGCCCCAGUAACGGCGAGUGAAGCGGCAACAGCUCAAAUUUGAAAUCUGGCCCCUCUCGGGGUCCGAGUUGUAAUUUGUAGAGGAUGCUUUUGGCGAGGCGCCGCCCGAGUUCCCUGGAACGGGACGCCACAGAGGGUGAGAGCCCCGUCUGGCUGGCCGCCGAGCCUCUGUAAAGCUCCUUCGACGAGUCGAGUAGUUUGGGAAUGCUGCUCAAAAUGGGAGGUAUAUGUCUUCUAAAGCUAAAUACUGGCCAGAGACCGAUAGCGCACAAGUAGAGUGAUCGAAAGAUGAAAAGCACCUUGAAAAGAGGGUUAAAUAGUACGUGAAAUUGUUGAAAGGGAAGCGCUUGUGACCAGACUUGGGCGCGGCGGAUCAUCCGGGGGUUCUCCCCGGUGCACUUCGCCGCGUCCAGGCCAGCAUCAGUUCGUCGCGGGGGAUAAAGGCUUCGGGAACGUGGCUCCCCCGGGAGUGUUAUAGCCCGUCGCACAAUACCCUGCGGUGGACUGAGGACCGCGCAUCUGCAAGGAUGCUGGCGUAAUGGUCACCAGCGACCCGUCUUGAAACACGGACCAAGGAGUCGUCUUCGUAUGCGAGUGUUCGGGUGUCAAACCCCUACGCGUAAUGAAAGUGAACGCAGGUGAGAGCUUCGGCGCAUCAUCGACCGAUCCUGAUGUUCUCGGAUGGAUUUGAGUAAGAGCAUACGGGGCCGGACCCGAAAGAAGGUGAACUAUGCCUGUAUAGGGUGAAGCCAGAGGAAACUCUGGUGGAGGCUCGCAGCGGUUCUGACGUGCAAAUCGAUCGUCAAAUAUGGGCAUGGGGCGAAAGACUCGAUAGAAACAUUCUAGUAGCUUGAUCGCGAA